This 75-nucleotide transfer RNA is filed under the name Trichosporon asahii var. asahii CBS 8904. RNAcentral's name for it is "tRNA-Lys (TTT) (tRNA-Lys-TTT-1-1)". It matches the Rfam family "tRNA". From Rfam's summary of the family: Transfer RNA (tRNA) molecules are approximately 80 nucleotides in length. Their secondary structure includes four short double-helical elements and three loops (D, anti-codon, and T loops). Lineage: Eukaryota; Fungi; Basidiomycota; Tremellomycetes; Trichosporonales; Trichosporonaceae. The record is from RNAcentral.
GCCCGCCUAGCUCAGUUGGUUUAGAGCUUCCGACUUUUAAUCGGACGGUCGCGGGUUCGACCCCCGCGGUGGGCU